CAGCUCACAAGGGAACAGAGUGCGAGGAAAAGAAAUCUGGCGACGCAUGCGCAGCUGUCCCGUGUACCGAAAAGCGGACCAUCUCCCUCCCGAGACUGGCGCCCCUUCACACACAGAUGAGACUCAACUCGGAGCGUUCCCGUGACCGUGAGCGCACCGGUUUGAGGACCCCCAAACGGAAGGCGGCUCACUGCGGCGUGCAGCAGCAGCCAUUUGGUAGCAGCUCUCCCUAGCGCCGAGGGUGUGCACUGCAACAAGGCGACGUGACCAUGCAGCAAAACUAGCCAUUGAGUAAUCUCCAAGCAGAUCCUAUGGUAGCAUAAGAUAGUAUCAAAAGCUGGAAGAGGUGUGAAGCCGGCUUAGGAAAGUGUUCCUCUACCAGGGACAAUGCAAAUGGACACCUCUUGACUGACUACACCCCUUGGUUAGUUUGGUACUAUCUUAUGCCAUCGUAGGAUCUGCUUGGAGAUUACCAUUGCGUAGCCUCCACCAGGCUCCACAGGUCGCUGGGAAAAUAGUUGAAAUUGGCACUAUAAUGCAGAAAACACGCCAGAUCAGAGGAGUUAAAUGGCCGAGGAGUACAGUUUGUGACCUGUGGAGCCUGGUAGAGGCUAGCCAUUUAGUAGUGUCAAUUGAAUUUGGGGAGUUUGGAAAUAAUGAAAACGUAAUCUAUCGGAAUGAAUUUUGACCAAAUAAUCGACAUCACAUUGCCAAAGCGAAAUGUACCAGGGCCAGUUUUCUGUCUGGAAAGUACAAGUAUAUUUUUGGUCGUUUUUAAACUAACUUAAAGGAUAUUCUGCCAGAAAAGCACAGACAAAUUUAUUCUAAGGAGUUAAUACAACAUGGCAGCUACGUGUAUUUUAACUUUAUAUGGACGAGGUAAAAUAUAGGCACCCUGAAGAAUUGCAAAUAUUAAGGGAGAAGAAACUUCGCUUUUGUAUUUGUGGGGUUUUAUUGUCGCUCUGCUACAGAUAAACCACUUUAAAUGUGAUUCGCAUGAAGGAUCAUCUUUAAGAACAAUCGACAUUGUAAAA
Branchiostoma floridae (Florida lancelet) is the source of this 1034-nucleotide long non-coding RNA. RefSeq lists it as uncharacterized. The record is from RefSeq and is a predicted model, not a curated record. NCBI's taxonomy places the organism in Eukaryota, Metazoa, Chordata, Leptocardii, Amphioxiformes, Branchiostomatidae. The transcript has 2 exons.